AUGUACGGCCGGUGCGGCAACAUGACGCACGCCCGCAGGACGUUCGACCACAUGCCUGACCGGGACAUGGCCUCCUGGCACCUCAUGAUCGAGGGCUACGCCGGCAACGGGCUCGGGGACGCCGCGCUGCAGCUCUUCGAGGAGAUGAAGCGGUGCGGCAUGGCGCCCACCGCCCGCACCUUCGUGCUCGUGCUCGACGCGUGCGCCAACUCGGAGGCCAUCGAGGAGGCCUUCCUCUACUUCGACGCCAUGUCCCGGGACCACGACAUCGAGCCCGGCAUGGAGCACUACGUCGGGAUCAUCGAGGUGCUGGGCAAGUCGGGGCACCUCAACGAGGCUGUGGAGUACAUCGAGAAGCUGCCGUUCGAGCCCAAUGCCAUGAUCUGGGAGUCGCUCCUGAACCUGGCACGCAUGAACGGCGACAUUGACCUCGAGGACCGGGCGGAGGAGCUGCUGGUCUCGCUCGACCCCUCCAAGGCCAACCCCAAGAAGCUCCCGACCCCUCCCCCGAAGCGGCGGCUCGGGAUCAACAUGCUCGACGGGAGGAACAAGCUGGGGGAGUACAGGCUGCCGCCCAAGAUCGAGAAGAAGGUGGUGAACGAGCAGCGCUACGUCCCCGACACGAGGUACGUGCUCCACGACAUUGACCAGGAGGCCAAGGAGCAGGCGCUGCUGUACCACAGCGAGCGGCUGGCCAUCGCCUACGGCCUGAUCAGCACCCCGGCCAGGACCCCGCUGCGCAUCAUCAAGAACCUCAGGAUCUGCGGGGACUGCCACAACGCCAUCAAGAUCAUGUCGAGGAUCGUGGGGCGGGAGCUCAUCGUGAGGGACAACAAGCGGUUCCACCAUUUCAAGGAGGGCAAGUGCUCCUGCGGCGACUACUGGUGA
RNAcentral lists this ribosomal RNA (888 nucleotides) under Triticum aestivum (bread wheat). RNAcentral's name for it is "partial small subunit ribosomal RNA". Lineage: Eukaryota; Viridiplantae; Streptophyta; Magnoliopsida; Poales; Poaceae. The record is from RNAcentral.